Long non-coding RNA from Phyllostomus discolor (pale spear-nosed bat), 957 nucleotides. RefSeq lists it as uncharacterized. The record is from RefSeq and is a predicted model, not a curated record. The transcript is spliced from 2 exons. NCBI's taxonomy places the organism in Eukaryota, Metazoa, Chordata, Mammalia, Chiroptera, Phyllostomidae.
ACUGCAUUUAAAACCAUCUGUCGUGCUGAGAAGGUAAACUCUUUUUCCUUUCAAGCAGAGAUAAAAUGAGGUAAACCAGACGUGAGAGAAAGCACGGGAACCCAUCAGCUGUGCAUCAGACACCCAAUUGUUCUCCUGGGGCUCUGCUCUUCUUGCCAGUCAACCAGUCACAAAGGGUUCAGCUUUGAUCUCAAUCUGACUCUGUUUGACAAAGCCAGUUACAGAUAGAUGCUCUUCAUGGAGACAGCAGAUUACAGACAAUGCCAUGCUGAAGAAAUGCUAUCUUGCCAUGGAUACACUGAAAGCUAUCUCUUCAUCCUGGGAUAUGCUUAUUCCAAGGAGUUGCAGAAAAAGGCAACUGUGGAAUGGAAGGCAUUUAUCUGUCCCACUUACAACAUCUCCUUGAGAAAAAACAAAUUUAGCAGCAACAACUAAGUAACAAAUUACAUAUGCCAUAAAGUCCCAUAUACUCAGUAGCCACAAAGACUGUGAUGCACCCAGUCAGCUAAAUAGGUGCUAUUUUUUCCCAGAACACAUCUAUUUGCUGUUGAAAGUGAGCAGCAGUAAUAGAAUCAGAUGAUUUAGAGUUAACUUGCAGGCAUGUGAUACAAAUCUUAAACACCUGUUUGACUUCUGCUACUCCCCAUGACUUAGGAAAGACAUCCUGAUUUCAUUUUGGCCAAUAAUGAAAGGCAAAAUGCCAUCUUAACAAUUUAGUUCAAAGCAAUCUUUUCUACAAGAUAGAUGUGGCUUCAGGUUGCCAAAAAGUGCAAAGCCCCUUUCUUUGUACUUUGAAAUUACACCAUCAGGACUGAGCAAAUGACUUUGUCGAUGCCAAAAGAAUAGAUUAUGAGUUUUAUUCUCAUGCUAAGCUCUGUGAAUUGUGUAGUGGUCAAGACCUCCCUGAUUCAGCAGCCCUAGAAAUGUCCAAUAAAAUGGCACUGCAUUCCAAUCACA